GACCUGGCUGGGCGGUCCGCUUAACGGCGUGUACUGUCUGGCUGGGCCUUACCUCUUGGUGAGCCGGCGUGCCCUUCACUGGUGUGCGUCGGGGAACCAGGACUUUUACCUUGAGAAAAUUAGAGUGUUCAAAGCAGGCGCACGCUUGCAUAGAUUAGCAUGGAAUAAUGGAAUAGGACC
This 180-nucleotide ribosomal RNA is filed under the name uncultured Glomeromycotina. RNAcentral describes it as "partial small subunit ribosomal RNA". Lineage: Eukaryota; Fungi; Glomeromycota. The record is from RNAcentral.